ACGGAGGUUGCAAGCGUUGUUCGGAAUGACUGGGCGUAAAGGGAGCGCAGGCGGUUUGGUUAGUCUAAAGUGAAAUCCCAGGGCUCAACUCUGGACUGGCUUUGGAUACUGUCAAACUUGAGUACGUGAGAGGAGAUUGGAAUUCUCGGUGUAGCAGUGAAAUGCUUAGAUAUCGAAAGGAACACCCGUGGCGAAGGCAAGUCCCUGGAAAACUCCUGACGCUGAGGCACGAAAGCUAGGGGAGCAAACAG
RNAcentral lists this ribosomal RNA (251 nucleotides) under uncultured prokaryote. RNAcentral's name for it is "partial 16S ribosomal RNA". It matches the Rfam family "Bacterial small subunit ribosomal RNA", at positions 525 to 775 of the family's 1533-position model. The record is from RNAcentral.